AAUUUCAGUUCAGAUAUUACAAGGACAAGUACAGUAUAUUUCCAUUCUGAACUUGAUAGAUGGCAUCAAAGAUUGGCUUUUCAAAUUUAGCCACUGUUAAUUGUGUUCUAAACGUUAAGCUUAUGAACCGGCACACUUCUUAGCUAGCCAAGUUGAUAAUUUUAUUUCUCUGGUUAUGUUUAUCCUUCAUGGCUAACUAAAUAAAAUUUGUACUUUGAUUAUUUUUUUUAUUUUUUUUUGAUAAACCCUAUCGGCUGAUCUGGUUGGCCCCGGGAGGAACGCAAUUAGUGCUACAGAGUGGGCUGCCUGACCCGAGUUUGAAAUACCUUUUGACUAAUGUCAAGGGGUGAAUCGAUCAUCUGUUACGAUCCACCAUGUAAACCACUUGAGCCAAAAUCCAAACUCAGACUGACCAAGUAAAGAUAAUUUAGUUCUAAAUUGAUUCGAGAACUGAUAUGGGUAUACACUAGACCCUAAAAGAUUGUACUUUGAUUAUGUUAUACCUAUUUAUUAUAGAUGUCUUUUUGGAAAAAGAAAG
RNAcentral lists this long non-coding RNA (538 nucleotides) under Brassica rapa (field mustard). RNAcentral's name for it is "long non-coding RNA (BRAP_LNC003028)". Lineage: Eukaryota; Viridiplantae; Streptophyta; Magnoliopsida; Brassicales; Brassicaceae. The record is from RNAcentral.